RNAcentral lists this unclassified non-coding RNA (428 nucleotides) under fungal sp. RNAcentral describes it as "partial internal transcribed spacer region". The stretch from base 1 to 46 matches the Rfam family "Eukaryotic small subunit ribosomal RNA", at positions 1786 to 1831 of the family's 1831-position model. Lineage: Eukaryota; Fungi. The record is from RNAcentral.
AAGUCGUAACAAGGUUGCUGUAGGGGAACCUGCGGCAGGAUCACAACGUAAGAAACAUGAUCUAUGGUUCUAUGCGAUGCGCAAGCAUUGCAUUGCAUCAUGAUGCGAGGUCGUAAGACCUCGUUGAAGGAAUCUUCUAAUAAGAUCUUUGAUCUUAUUUAAGACCGACACAUGCUAAACAUGCAUCUGAGAUGAUGAGCAUGAGAAGUGCUCAGCAUCUCGGUGCGUCACCCCGAGAACUGUAUUGACCUAGCAGAGAGCAGGUGAAGUGGUAUGAGUUGUUAAGACUCGAUAAACUUAACUGCGCUCUCUGCAGUGGAUCAACAACUAAACAUCUUUAUCCUUCUCGUGUGUUCCAGUCAUCACGGCACGGUAUAUUACCAAUACUUUAUUACUUACAACUUUGAACCACGGAUCUCUUGGCUCUU